UCGGCGCGGGGAAGCACGCUGCAAGUCGAGCGACAGAUAAGGAGCUUGCUCCUUUGACGUUAGCGGCGGACGGGUGAGUAACACGUGGAUAACCUACCUAUAAGACUGGGAUAACUUCGGGAAACCGGAGCUAAUACCGGAUAACAUAUUGAACCGCAUGGUUCAAUAGUGAAAGGCGGCUUUGCUGUCACUUAUAGAUGGAUCCGCGCCGUAUUAGCUAGUUGGUAAGGUAACGGCUUACCAAGGCAACGAUACGUAGCCGACCUGAGAGGGUGAUCGGCCACACUGGAACUGAGACACGGUCCAGACUCCUACGGGAGGCAGCAGUAGGGAAUCUUCCGCAAUGGGCGAAAGCCUGACGGAGCAACGCCGCGUGAGUGAUGAAGGUCUUCGGAUCGUAAAACUCUGUUAUCAGGGAAGAACAAAUGUGUAAGUAACUGUGCACAUCUUGACGGUACCUGAUCAGAAAGCCACGGCUAACUACGUGCCAGCAGCCGCGGUAAUACGUAGGUGGCAAGCGUUAUCCGGAAUUAUUGGGCGUAAAGCGCGCGUAGGCGGUUUUUUAAGUCUGAUGUGAAAGCCCACGGCUCAACCGUGGAGGGUCAUUGGAAACUGGAAAACUUGAGUGCAGAAGAGGAAAGUGGAAUUCCAUGUGUAGCGGUGAAAUGCGCAGAGAUAUGGAGGAACACCAGUGGCGAAGGCGACUUUCUGGUCUGUAACUGACGCUGAUGUGCGAAAGCGUGGGGAUCAAACAGGAUUAGAUACCCUGGUAGUCCACGCCGUAAACGAUGAGUGCUAAGUGUUAAGGGGGUUUCCGCCCCUUAGUGCUGCAGCUAACGCAUUAAGCACUCCGCCUGGGGGAGUACGACCGCAAGGUUGAAACUCAAAGGAAUUGACGGGGACCCGCACAAGCGGUGGAGCAUGUGGUUUAAUUCGAAGCAACGCGAAGAACCUUACCAAAUCUUGACAUCCUUUGACCGCUCUAGAGAUAGAGUCUUCCCCUUCGGGGGACAAAGUGACAGGUGGUGCAUGGUUGUCGUCAGCUCGUGUCGUGAGAUGUUUGGGUUAAGUCCCGCAACGAGCGCAACCCUUAAGCUUAGUUGCCAUCAUUAAGUUGGGCACUCUUAAGUUGACUGCCGGUGACAAACCGGAGGAAGGUGGGGAUGACGUCAAAUCAUCAUGCCCCUUAUGAUUUGGGCUACACACGUGCUACAAUGGACAAUACAAAGGGCAGCUAAACCGCGAGGUCAAGCAAAUCCCAUAAAGUUGUUCUCAGUUCGGAUUGUAGUCUGCAACUCGACUACAUGAAGCUGGAAUCGCUAGUAAUCGUAGAUCAGCAUGCUACGGUGAAUACGUUCCCGGGUCUUGUACACACCGCCCGUCACACCACGAGAGUUUGUAACACCCGAAGCCGGUGGAGUAACCAUUUACGGAGCUAGCACUCUGUGAUUUGACAAUUCGGG
RNAcentral lists this ribosomal RNA (1463 nucleotides) under Staphylococcus sp. Act36. Its description in RNAcentral is "bacterial SSU rRNA". It matches the Rfam family "Bacterial small subunit ribosomal RNA". Lineage: Bacteria; Bacillati; Bacillota; Bacilli; Caryophanales; Staphylococcaceae. The record is from RNAcentral.